This 1343-nucleotide ribosomal RNA is filed under the name uncultured bacterium. RNAcentral describes it as "16S ribosomal RNA". It matches the Rfam family "Bacterial small subunit ribosomal RNA", at positions 28 to 1378 of the family's 1533-position model. The record is from RNAcentral.
GACGAACGCUGGCGGCGUGCUUAACACAUGCAAGUCGAACGGAAAGGCCCUGCUUUUGUGGGGUGCUCGAGUGGCGAACGGGUGAGUAACACGUGAGUAACCUGCCCUUGACUUUGGGAUAACUUCAGGAAACUGGGGCUAAUACCGGAUAGGAGCUCCUGCUGCAUGGUGGGGGUUGGAAAGUUUCGGCGGUUGGGGAUGGACUCGCGGCUUAUCAGCUUGUUGGUGGGGUAGUGGCUUACCAAGGCUUUGACGGGUAGCCGGCCUGAGAGGGUGACCGGCCACAUUGGGACUGAGAUACGGCCCAGACUCCUACGGGAGGCAGCAGUGGGGAAUAUUGCACAAUGGGCGGAAGCCUGAUGCAGCAACGCCGCGUGCGGGAUGACGGCCUUCGGGUUGUAAACCGCUUUCGCCUGUGACGAAGCGUGAGUGACGGUAAUGGGUAAAGAAGCACCGGCUAACUACGUGCCAGCAGCCGCGGUGAUACGUAGGGUGCGAGCGUUGUCCGGAUUUAUUGGGCGUAAAGGGCUCGUAGGUGGUUGAUCGCGUCGGAAGUGUAAUCUUGGGGCUUAACCCUGAGCGUGCUUUCGAUACGGGUUGACUUGAGGAAGGUAGGGGAGAAUGGAAUUCCUGGUGGAGCGGUGGAAUGCGCAGAUAUCAGGAGGAACACCAGUGGCGAAGGCGGUUCUCUGGGCCUUUCCUGACGCUGAGGAGCGGAAGCGUGGGGAGCGAACAGGCUUAGAUACCCUGGUAGUCCACGCUGUAAACGGUGGGUACUAGGUGUGGGGUCCAUUCCACGGGUUCCGUGCCGUAGCUAACGCUUUAAGUACCCCGCCUGGGGAGUACGGCCGCAAGACUAAAACUCAAAGGAAUUGACGGGGCCCCGCACAAGCGGCGGAGCAUGCGGAUUAAUUCGAUGCAACGCGUAGAACCUUACCUGGGUUUGACAUGGAUCGGGAGUGCUCAGAGAUGGGUGUGCCUCUUUUGGGGUCGGUUCACAGGUGGUGCAUGGCUGUCGUCAGCUCGUGUCGUGAGAUGUUGGGUUAAGUCCCGCAACGAGCGCAACCCUUGUUCACUGUUGCCAGCACGUUAUGGUGGGGACUCAGUGGAGACCGCCGGGGUCAACUCGGAGGAAGGUGGGGAUGACGUCAAGUCAUCAUGCCCCUUAUGUCCAGGGCUUCACGCAUGCUACAAUGGCUGGUACAGAGAGUGGCGAGCCUGUGAGGGUGAGCGAAUCUCGGAAAGCCGGUCUCAGUUCGGAUUGGGGUCUGCAACUCGACCUCAUGAAGUCGGAGUCGCUAGUAAUCGCAGAUCAGCAACGCUGCGGUGAAUACGUUCCCGGG